UACACUCCUACGGGAGGCAGCAGUGGGGAAUUUUGGACAAUGGGCGAAAGCCUGAUCCAGCAAUGCCGCGUGAGUGAAGAAGGCCUUCGGGUUGUAAAGCUCUUUUGUCAGGGAAGAAACGGUGAGAGCUAAUAUCUCUUGCUAAUGACGGUACCUGAAGAAUAAGCACCGGCUAACUACGUGCCAGCAGCCGCGGUAAUACGUAGGGUGCAAGCGUUAAUCGGAAUUACUGGGCGUAAAGCGUGCGCAGGCGGUUUUGUAAGUCUGAUGUGAAAUCCCCGGGCUCAACCUGGGAAUUGCAUUGGAGACUGCAAGGCUAGAAUCUGGCAGAGGGGGGUAGAAUUCCACGUGUAGCAGUGAAAUGCGUAGAUAUGUGGAGGAACACCGAUGGCGAAGGCAGCCCCCUGGGUCAAGAUUGACGCUCAUGCACGAAAGCGUGGGGAGCAAACAGGAUUAGAAACCCGGGUAGUCC
RNAcentral lists this ribosomal RNA (472 nucleotides) under uncultured organism. RNAcentral's name for it is "partial 16S ribosomal RNA". It matches the Rfam family "Bacterial small subunit ribosomal RNA", at positions 332 to 796 of the family's 1533-position model. The record is from RNAcentral.